AGCAGCCGCGGUAAUUCCAGCUCCAAUAGCGUAUAUUAAAGUUGUUGCAGUUAAAAAGCUCGUAGUUGAAUUUCGGGAUCAAUAUGUUGGUCGUGCCUUGGUACGUACUGGCAUUAUUGGUUUCUACCUUCUGAAGAACCUCGAUGUCAUUAAUUUGGUGUCUUGGGAAAUCAGGACUGUUACUUUGAAAAAAUUAGAGUGUUUAAAGCAAGCUCGCGCUUGAAUACAUUAGCAUGGAAUAAUGAAAUAGGACGUUUUGAUUCUAUUUUGUUGGUUUCUAGGAUCGACGUAAUGAUUAAUAGGGAUAGUUGGGGGCAUUAGUAUUCAAUUGUCAGAGGUGAAAUUCUUGGAUUUAUUGAAGACUAACUACUGCGAAAGCAUUUGCCAAGGAUGUUUUCAUUAAUCAAGAACGAAAGUUAGGGGAUCGAAGACGAUCAGAUACCGUCGUAGUCUUAACCAUAAACUAUGCCGACUAGGGAUCGGAUGAUGUUAAUUUUUAAUGACUCA
This 507-nucleotide ribosomal RNA is filed under the name uncultured Glomeraceae. Its description in RNAcentral is "SSU rRNA". It matches the Rfam family "Eukaryotic small subunit ribosomal RNA", at positions 569 to 1078 of the family's 1831-position model. The record is from RNAcentral. Lineage: Eukaryota; Fungi; Glomeromycota; Glomeromycetes; Glomerales; Glomeraceae.